GAUGAAGAACGCAGCGAAAUGCGAUAAGUAGUGUGAAUUGCAGAAUUCAGUGAAUCAUCGAAUCUUUGAACGCACAUUGCGCCCUUUGGUAUUCCUUAGGGCAUGCCUGUUCGAGCGUCAUUUAAACCUUCAAGCUAAGCUUGGUGUUGGGUGACUGUCCGCUUCACUGCGGACUCGCCUCAAAAUUAUUGGCGGCCGGUACAUUGGCUUCGAGCGCAGCAGAAACGCGAACUCGGGCCCGUCGUAUUGGCUCCCAGAAGCUAUCUUCACAAUUUUGACAUCGGAUCAGGUAGGGAUACCCGCUGAACUUAAGCAUAUCAAUAAGCGGAGGA
Molecule: unclassified non-coding RNA, 332 nt
Filed under: soil metagenome
Description: partial contains 5.8S ribosomal RNA, internal transcribed spacer 2, and large subunit ribosomal RNA
Rfam family: 5.8S ribosomal RNA (bases 1-120)
Source: RNAcentral